ACCGCAACAUCAUGAGAAGUCCACUCAACCUUAUCAUUUAGAUGAAGGAGAAGUCGUAACAAGGUUUAUGUAGGUGAACCUACGGAAGGAUCAUUG
This 96-nucleotide ribosomal RNA is filed under the name Plectocomiopsis geminiflora. RNAcentral describes it as "partial 18S ribosomal RNA". It matches the Rfam family "Eukaryotic small subunit ribosomal RNA", at positions 1736 to 1831 of the family's 1831-position model. Lineage: Eukaryota; Viridiplantae; Streptophyta; Magnoliopsida; Arecales; Arecaceae. The record is from RNAcentral.